Non-coding RNA from Vicugna pacos (alpaca), 189 nucleotides. Lineage: Eukaryota; Metazoa; Chordata; Mammalia; Artiodactyla; Camelidae. The record is from RefSeq and is a predicted model, not a curated record.
AGGUUGAGUGGACUGCAUAGAAUUCAAGGUCUGUUAGGUGUGCUCUUCAAAUCUGGGCAAACAGCUGGAGGAUGGCCACACUCCAUCAGACUACAAUAUUCAGAAUGAGUCCACCUUGCACUUGGUGCUUCAUCUGCGAGGUGGCAUCAUUGAGCCUUCCCUCCACCAGCUUGUCCAGAAAUGGACCUA